This 242-nucleotide unclassified non-coding RNA is filed under the name Filobasidium floriforme. RNAcentral describes it as "partial internal transcribed spacer region". The stretch from base 1 to 46 matches the Rfam family "Eukaryotic small subunit ribosomal RNA", at positions 1786 to 1831 of the family's 1831-position model. The record is from RNAcentral. Lineage: Eukaryota; Fungi; Basidiomycota; Tremellomycetes; Filobasidiales; Filobasidiaceae.
AAGUCGUAACAAGGUUUCCGUAGGUGAACCUGCGGAAGGAUCAUUAAUGAAUAAAGGUAUCACGCCUCACGGCUGUGUGUUGGAUCAUCAUUGUGCAAUAGUCUUUGAUCCACUUCCUAUCAUAUCCAUAACACCUGUGCACUGUUGGAUGCUUGCAUCCACUUUUAAACUAAACAUUAUUGUAACAAAUGUAGUCUUAUUAUAACAUAAUAAAACUUUCAACAACGGAUCUCUUGGCUCUC